AUUGAACGCUGGCGGCAUGCCUUACACAUGCAAGUCGAACGGCAGCGGGGGAGAAGCUUGCUUUUCCUGCCGGCGAGUGGCGAACGGGUGAGUAAUACAUCGGAACGUGCCCUGUAGUGGGGGAUAACUAGUCGAAAGGUUAGCUAAUACCGCAUACGACCUGAGGGUGAAAGUGGGGGACCGCAAGGCCUCAUGCUAUAGGAGCGGCCGAUGUCUGAUUAGCUAGUUGGUGGGGUAAAGGCCUACCAAGGCGACGAUCAGUAGCUGGUCUGAGAGGACGAUCAGCCACACUGGGAGUGGGACACGGCCCAGACUCCUACGGGAGGCAGCAGUGGGGAAUUUUGGACAAUGGGCGAAAGCCUGAUCCAGCAAUGCCGCGUGUGUGAAGAAGGCCUUCGGGUUGUAAAGCACUUUUGUCCGGAAAGAAAUGGCUCUGGUUAAUACCUGGGGUCGAUGACGGUACCGGAAGAAUAAGGACCGGCUAACUACGUGCCAGCCGCCGCCGUAA
Molecule: ribosomal RNA, 508 nt
Filed under: uncultured bacterium
Lineage: Bacteria
Description: partial 16S ribosomal RNA
Rfam family: Bacterial small subunit ribosomal RNA
Source: RNAcentral